RNAcentral lists this ribosomal RNA (528 nucleotides) under uncultured bacterium. RNAcentral's name for it is "bacterial SSU rRNA". It matches the Rfam family "Bacterial small subunit ribosomal RNA", at positions 981 to 1509 of the family's 1533-position model. The record is from RNAcentral.
UUGACAUCCAGAGAACUUGGCAGAGAUGCCCUGGUGCCUUCCGGGAACUCUGAGACAGGUGCUGCAUGGCUGUCGUCAGCUCGUGUUGUGAAAUGUUGGGUUAAGUCCGCAACGAGCGCAACCCCUAUCCUUUGUUGCCAGCGAUUCGGUCGGGAACUCAAAGGAGACUGCCGGUGAUAAACCGGAGGAAGGUGGGGAUGACGUCAAGUCAUCAUGGCCCUUACGAGUAGGGCUACACACGUGCUACAAUGGCGCAUACAAAGAGAAGCGACCUCGCGAGAGCAAGCGGACCUCAUAAAGUGCGUCGUAGUCCGGAUCGGAGUCUGCAACUCGACUCCGUGAAGUCGGAAUCGCUAGUAAUCGUAGAUCAGAAUGCUACGGUGAAUACGUUCCCGGGCCUUGUACACACCGCCCGUCACACCAUGGGAGUGGGUUGCAAAAGAAGUAGAUAGCUUAACCUUCGGGAGGGCGUUUACCACUUUGUGAUUCAUGACUGGGGUGAAGUCGUAACAAGGUAAGCGUAGACGU